Molecule: ribosomal RNA, 438 nt
Filed under: uncultured bacterium
Lineage: Bacteria
Description: partial 16S ribosomal RNA
Rfam family: Bacterial small subunit ribosomal RNA
Source: RNAcentral
AACGAACGCUGGCGGCAGGCUUAACACAUGCAAGUCGAACGCACCUUUCGGGGUGAGUGGCCGACGGGUGAGUAACGCGUGGGAAUCUACCCUUCUCUACGGGAUAGCUCCGGGAAACUGGAAUUAAUACCGUAUACGUCCUUAGGGAGAAAGAUUUAGCGGGGGAGGAUGAGCCCGCGGCGGAUUCGCUAGUUGGGGGGGUAAAGGCCUACCAAGGCGACGAUCCGUAGCUGGUCUAAGAGGAUGAUCGGGCACAGUGGGACUGAGACACGGCCCAGACGGCGACGGGAGGCAGCAGGGGGGAAGAGUGCAGAAUGGGCGGAAGCCUGAUGCAGCAACGCCGCGGGGGGGAAGACGGCCUUCGGGUUGGAAAGCGCUUGCGCCUGUGACGAAGCGGGAGUGACGGUAAGGAGUAAAGAAGCACCGGCUAACUACGUG